GACGAAGGUGGCAAGCGUUGUUCGGAUUCACUGGGCAUAAAGGGCGCGUAGGCGGUUCCGAAAGUGGCAUGUGAAAUCCCCCGGCUCAACCGGGGAAGUGCGUGCCAAACUUCGGUGCUAGAGGGCGGUAGGGGGGACUGGAACUCUCGGUGGAGCGGUGAAAUGCGUAGAUAUCGAGAGGAACACCGGUGGCGAAGGCGGCCCCCUGGUUGGAUACUGACGCUGAGACGCGAAAGCGUGGGGAGCAAACAGG
RNAcentral lists this ribosomal RNA (253 nucleotides) under uncultured bacterium. RNAcentral describes it as "partial 16S ribosomal RNA". It matches the Rfam family "Bacterial small subunit ribosomal RNA", at positions 524 to 776 of the family's 1533-position model. The record is from RNAcentral.